This 448-nucleotide ribosomal RNA is filed under the name Hyphasis sp. BMNH 846623. RNAcentral's name for it is "partial 28S ribosomal RNA". The record is from RNAcentral. Lineage: Eukaryota; Metazoa; Arthropoda; Insecta; Coleoptera; Chrysomelidae.
GGUCGAAAGGGGAAAUUCAUUCGCGUUUCGAUUGCGGAGUUGUGCGUUGUCGUGCGACGAGAACGGCGCGUUAGUGCCGUUCACGCGCCCUUCGUUCGACCGGCCGCGAUCGAACGCGUGCACUUUUCCCCUUGUAGGACGUCGCGAUCCGUUGGGUGUUUAUCUAAGGGUCGGGGUGGAGCCCGCGAGAGGCGUUCACGCGCUCUCUUCUCGCGGACCCCCGAUUUUUAUGUCGAUAAACUCGCUCGACGGUAUCGAAAAGGGGCGCGAGGCCGCUGAUGGUCGGUUCUCGUCCGCGUGAAUAUAAAGCGCGGACGGCCGAUCCGAAUUAGCGUUCGGCCCGUAGCAAGCACGUACCGUACGCUCUUUGAGUCGACGGCGAUCGGACCCAGUGCCGAUUCUGUCGCGGGACGACUGUUGGCUUACGGUGUUCUCGAACAGACCUCGA